UGGGGAAUUUUGGACAAUGGGCGAAAGCCUGAUCCAGCAAUGCCGCGUGUGUGAAGAAGGCCUUCGGGUUGUAAAGCACUUUUGUCCGGAAAGAAAUCCUUGGCUCUAAUACAGUCGGGGGAUGACGGUACCGGAAGAAUAAGCACCGGCUAACUACGUGCCAGCAGCCGCGGUAAUACGUAGGGUGCAAGCGUUAAUCGGAAUUACUGGGCGUAAAGCGUGCGCAGGCGGUUUGCUAAGACCGAUGUGAAAUCCCCGGGCUCAACCUGGGAACUGCAUUGGGUGACUGGCAGGCUAGAGUAUGGCAGAGGGGGGUAGAAUUCCACGUGUAGCAGUGAAAUGCGUAGAGAUGUGGAGGAAUACCGAUGGCGAAGGCAGCCCCCUGGGCCAAUACUGACGCUCAUGCACGAAAGCGUGGGGAGCAAACAGGAUUAGAUACCCUGGUAGUCCACGCCCUAAACGAUGUCAACUAGUUGUUGGGGAUUCAUUUCCUUAGUAACGUAGCUAACGCGUGAAGUUGACCGCCUGGGGAGUACGGUCGCAAGAUUAAAACUCAAAUGAAUUGACGGGGUCAUA
This 576-nucleotide ribosomal RNA is filed under the name uncultured bacterium. Its description in RNAcentral is "partial 16S ribosomal RNA". It matches the Rfam family "Bacterial small subunit ribosomal RNA", at positions 355 to 923 of the family's 1533-position model. The record is from RNAcentral.